Molecule: ribosomal RNA, 301 nt
Filed under: uncultured bacterium
Lineage: Bacteria
Description: partial 16S ribosomal RNA
Rfam family: Bacterial small subunit ribosomal RNA
Source: RNAcentral
CAGUAGCCACGGGAAUACGAAGGGGGCUAGCGUUGUUCGGAAUUACUGGGCGUAAAGCGCACGUAGGCGGACAUUUAAGUCAGGGGUGAAAUCCCGGGGCUCAACCCCGGAACUGCCUUUGAUACUGGGUGUCUAGAGUAUGGAAGAGGUGAGUGGAAUUCCGAGUGUAGAGGUGAAAUUCGUAGAUAUUCGGAGGAACACCAGUGGCGAAGGCGGCUCACUGGUCCAUUACUGACGCUGAGGUGCGAAAGCGUGGGGAGCAAACAGGAUUAGAUACCCCUGUAGUCCCUGUCUCUUAUAC